Molecule: ribosomal RNA, 265 nt
Filed under: uncultured prokaryote
Description: partial 16S ribosomal RNA
Rfam family: Bacterial small subunit ribosomal RNA
Source: RNAcentral
UACGUAGGUGGCAAGCGUUGUCCGGAAUUACUGGGUAUAAAGGGAGCGCAGGCGGGGAGACAAGUCAGCUGUGAAAUGCAUAGGCUUAACCUAUGAAUUGCAGUUGAAACUGUUUUUCUUGAGUGGAGUAGAGGUAGACGGAAUUCCGAGUGUAGCGGUGAAAUGCGUAGAUAUUCGGAGGAACACCAGUGGCGAAGGCGGUCUACUGGGCUCUAACUGACGCUGAGGCUCGAAAGUGUGGGGAGCAAACAGGAUUAGAUACCCU